RNAcentral lists this ribosomal RNA (835 nucleotides) under Alexandrium minutum. RNAcentral's name for it is "LSU rRNA". It matches the Rfam family "Eukaryotic large subunit ribosomal RNA", at positions 119 to 903 of the family's 3401-position model. The record is from RNAcentral. Lineage: Eukaryota; Dinophyceae; Gonyaulacales; Pyrocystaceae.
AAAUGGGGCCUUUGGCUUUGAAUUGUAAUUUUGAAAUGUAUUGCCAAUGGAGGCGCAGGUGCAAGCCUAUUGAAAGAAAGCGUCAAUGAGGGUGAAAUUCCUUUUUGUCAUUUGCAGUCCUCCGUGCACGGUAUAUAUUUGACGAGUCACACUCCUCGGCAUUGGAAUGCAAAGUGGGUGGUAAAUUCCAUGUAAAGGUAAAUAUAUUAUUGAGACUGAUAGCAAACAAGUACCAUGAGGGAAAUAUGAAAAGGACUUUGAAAAGGGAAUUAAAAGAGUCUGCAUUUGCUGAACAGAAAGCAAACAGAAUUGAUGUGCUUGGUGAGAUUGUUGUGCCCACUCUGUCAUUUAUGUCGGAUGUGGGUGCGAUGGUUCUUACCUUGAAUGUCAGCUUCUAUUUCUGCAAAUCAUUACCCUUGCACAUGAAUGGUAAUUUGCCUGCGGGUAUUGGAAUGUGUGUGUUUGCAAUGAUUUGUGAUUUGAUGCAUGUGGUUGGUGGACUUUGUAUGUGCUGUUUUGCCAACGGGGAAGGGACUCUUCCUUGAGCACUGCAAGCCCUUGCACAUUAAUGCUGGCAAAAUGUUUCUGCUUGACCCGUCUUGAAACACGGACCAAGGAGUCUAACAGAUGUGCAAGUGCGUGGGUGGCAAACCUACUAACACAAUGAAAGUAUUGGCUGGGAUAUUUGCACCAGCAGCCGACUGAUUAGCAGACAGAGGUUUGAGUUUGAGCAUAUCUAUUAGGACCCGAAAGAUGGUGAACUAUGCCUGAACAGAAUGAAUUCAGAGGAAACUCUGGAUGGAGGUUCGUAUCGAUACUGACGUGCAAAUCGUUC